AGUCACACUUUACGUUAAAGAUCUUCGACAUUCAUGUGCUGCGUAACGGUAGUUAGUGCAUUUAUACAUUACUGUGAUUUAUGCAUUAACCGUUCUCAGCUCUAAGAUAAAAUAAACAAUAUUUCGGUUACAAACGUUUCGGAAAGCUUUUAAAUGUGUGAAGUGUCCUUGAGCUUGUGGAAAGGCACUAUAUAAAUAAAACUAUCUCAAGCUGCAGCUACCCUGCAGGAAGCUCAGUCCAAGACCACCCAGUGUCUGGCGCUGGAAUCAUGAAUCCCGAGCCUCCGCCUCAAUUGGAGGUUGAUGGAGCACCUGCGUAUAUGGUCAGAGCGAUCAUGGACUCAAGGCGACGGGGAGCCAGAUGCAAUACUUGGUGGACUGGGAAGGCUACGGACCAGAGGAGAGAUCGUGGGUAGCUGCCAAGGACAUGCUGGACCCGUCCCUGAUCCAAGAGUUCCACCAAGCUCAUCCUAAUCGUCCAGCACCACGACCAAGGGGACAUCCCAGCAGAAGAACACCAGCAGUUGUUCGUAGAGGGGGGGUUCUGUAACAUCUGAGGUUGUUACCCAUCCUACCAACCACCAGAGGGAGCCCUCUCCCGAAUACUGAUUAUCACCCAUUUCUUCACUGCUCAUUUCCUGUUUACCAUAUGUAUAUAUAGCCAUGCAGUUCCAUUGUUCAUUGCAAAGUAUUGCCAGUUUACACUGCCUUGCCGAGCGUUUUCCAUUUGCCACUGUUUAUUGAUUCAUGUUAUGACCAUUGCCUGCUUUUCUGGAUUUACUGCUUUUUGGAUAACACUUUGUUUUGUUUGCCUGGUUGGACUGUCUAUUUGGUUUAUUGGAUUUAUCUGCCUGCUUUUCGACUGUUUCUCUGCCUGCUGUUUUGGAUUGUUUGCUUGUCUCUUUUAAUAAACUUCCUGCACAUGGAUCCUAA
Molecule: long non-coding RNA, 933 nt
Organism: Myxocyprinus asiaticus (Chinese sucker)
Lineage: Eukaryota; Metazoa; Chordata; Actinopteri; Cypriniformes; Catostomidae
Exons: 3
Source: RefSeq, a predicted model, not a curated record